GCGCCCGUAGCUCAGUCGGUCGGUAGAGCGGUGGAACGUUGAUCCACAGUCCCGGUUUCAAGUCCCCGCGGUCGCU
Molecule: non-coding RNA, 76 nt
Organism: Phthorimaea operculella (potato tuberworm)
Lineage: Eukaryota; Metazoa; Arthropoda; Insecta; Lepidoptera; Gelechiidae
Source: the annotation of a GenBank genome assembly